CAGCAGCCGCGGUAACACGAAGGGGGCUAGCGUUGUUCGGAUUUACUGGGCGUAAAGCGCACGUAGGCGGAUCGAUCAGUCAGGGGUGAAAUCCCAGAGCUCAACUCUGGAACUGCCUUUGAUACUGUCGAUCUGGAGUAUGGAAGAGGUGAGUGGAAUUCCGAGUGUAGAGGUGAAAUUCGUAGAUAUUCGGGGGAACACCAGUGGCGAAGGCGGCUCACUGGUCCAUUACUGACGCUGAGGUGCGAAAGCGUGGGGAGCAAACAGGAUUAGAUACCCCCGUAGUCCCUGUCUCUUAUAC
Molecule: ribosomal RNA, 301 nt
Filed under: uncultured bacterium
Lineage: Bacteria
Description: partial 16S ribosomal RNA
Rfam family: Bacterial small subunit ribosomal RNA
Source: RNAcentral